Xenopus laevis (African clawed frog) is the source of this 386-nucleotide long non-coding RNA. RefSeq lists it as uncharacterized. Lineage: Eukaryota; Metazoa; Chordata; Amphibia; Anura; Pipidae. The transcript is spliced from 2 exons. The record is from RefSeq and is a predicted model, not a curated record.
AUUGAAGAGAAGAAGAUGGCUCCCGUGAACUCCGCUGGACAGAAUCUGCAAUGAGGGGAAUGAGUGGGCUACAGCUGAACUAAUGGCUUUCCUCUAUGGAAGGAACACAACAUUCUUCAUGCCUGCAGCAGUUUUGGCAUCACUAAGCCUGCUGACUGGUUGAAUUCCUUCCCAGUGACCUGCAGGUGUCUAUAUAACAAGCUGGAGCUGAUUGGCAAAUCUUUGUCCCGGUCUCUACAACAACUGCCUGCUGAUUGGCUGAACAUUUCUCUAGCCAGUACUUCCUUGAAAUCAGAGGCCCUGUGACAGUUGGGAGUUUUUUUGCCUUGAGAAAAACAGCAGCAGCUUCUUCCUUCUCUAAUAAAUGCCUUUUGGUGUUAAAAUGA